CACAAUAAACUUGCAUAAUGAACCACCUCCAAACUAAGCAUAUACCCUCGCUUGUUCCUGGGCAGGUCAGCUGGAGGUCUGCUGAUCUCUGUGGAAUUCAACGGGGCUUGAUUCCGAGGUGCCGGUUACAUGUGGGUAUGCUCCACGGACCUACCAACGUCCUGGGACCAGCGGGCAACCUACAUCAUGUCAUUUUCUUGGAAGAGUCAGAAGGGCAGGCAUGCAAAGCCCAGCUGCUUAUGGGCAAUUCAAGCUGCUGCUUCUCCUCCAUCUGCAUCCCAUUGCCUGAUGCGUGUUACCCAGGCACGAGGGGUUUUUCAGAUACUACAUAGAAUCUUCUGGAUUUAGUGAGGCUCACUGGCUGCCAGUUGGAAAGGAGGCACGAGAGAAUCUUGGAACUGGCUUGGGUGUCGGGUCAAAGAUACUUGGUAGGUUAGCAACAUCAGAAAUCCAGAUUCGGAGAACAAAUCUGGUAUGGUCUUUCUAUCAACAUAUUUGAAACCUCCUAAACAGCUAGUGAUUACUGAAUGAAGACCCUUAGAGACCUUAGGAAUGGGGGAAAAUAGGAAGUACUGAACAUGGCAUUUCAAGACCAAUGUCAGUGUCGUGGGCUUAAAUGCAGAAUCCAGUAACAAAAGGAACUAGUCAGGAAAGUUUGAAAUUCUUGCCAUCUAGGAAUCUGACUGAGAACAUAACCCUUUGACAGAACGUGCCUGGCAUACUCUCCAUGGGCUCUAGUCUUGGAAAUAACCCUUCCUGGCUGGGUGAUGUUGGCACAGCUAAUGUCUCUAGGCCUCCACUUGGUAGCUCAGAGGGUUGGAAGAGGAGGCCCUGAAAUACUCAGAGCUUCCACAAACAAACUUGAGGUUGCUGUGUUGAAAGAUCUGGUCUGAUUUCCAACUUAGAAGUACAGACAAAUAUGGAAGACUGAAAGGACUGGGAGAUUGGUGGUGGAACCCAUGAAACGGUGUAAAAUGACGAUUUUUUUUAAGAUUUUGUUUGUUUUUUUUUUUUUAAAGAUUUUAUUUGUUUAUUUAAGAGAGAGAGAAUGAACACAAGCAGGGGAAGGGGCAGAGGGAGAGGGAGACAUAGAGUCCCCACUGAGCAGGGAGCUACAUGUGGUCCUGGGAUCAUAACCUGAGCUGCAGGCAGAUGCUUAGCCUACUAAGCCCUCCAGGUGCCCUGGUAUGAAGUGAACACUUGAAGUGGGAUCUACUGUAGAGGGACCCCGAGUCUCUGGAACCCGGUAUUCAUCCUCCGCUUCCUCCUUGCUAACAGAACCCCAUUUGUGUUUGAAGCAGCCACACUCACAGCUUAAAAAGCUGUAUGUGGCUACUUUUGCUCCAUCCCAUUAACCACUUGACAUAGUUCUGGCCAAGGAGAUACAACUGGGGCUUCCAGAGGAGUUUUCAGGAAAGUACGUUUUGGAUGGCACAGCCCCCUCUCUCUUCAUCCUCCCCUCUUAGAAACCAGAAAUGAUCUGAGGUGGAGCAGUCAUCCUGGGACCACAAGGCGCCAGGUCACACGCUAUGUACUGAUAGAAACCCACUCAGCACCUGCAGCCUGAGGGCAUCCAGAGCUAUCAUACAACCCUAAUUCCUCUAGGCAGACUUCUUGCUCAGAGAGAAAAGAAGGGCACAAGAGAGACAGGGAGGGAGAUGGGGGCCAAGUCUCUCACAUUUGGUUUUACCCUUACAGGCUGGGCAUCCCACACAUGCCAGCAAACAUAGUUCUGAUCAAAGUGAUGCCUGGCCUUCCCCAUCCAGUGAUGAGUGAGCCCACUUCCCUGCAAUAUUCAGUAUGCUCGAGACAACCAGACAUAGCAAAUGACUGCUUCUGGAAAAGAGCUUGCUAAUAACGAUAAAACUAACUGCAGUCCUCCAGGACAGAGACCAUAUUUUAUUCCUCUUUAUAGUCCUGGUGCCCCAAGUGGCCAUGAUGGACUUUAGGAUCACAAUCCCGAUGAGUUAGAUGAUUGAUGAAGAGAAAGAAACCAUUUCUUUUCUGUCAAGGAGUUAUUNUUUAUAGUCCGUGCCCCAAGUGGCCAUGAUGGACUUUAGGAUCACAAUCCCGAUGAGUUAGAUGAUUGAUGAAGAGAAAGAAACCAUUUCUUUUCUGUCAAGGAGUUAUUCCAUCCAUAUGACAGCCAACAUUCACUGGUGAUGAUUUGUCAUUUGUUCUGUAGGAUUGACGCUCAUCCCACCCACUCCCACCCCAGGUCACAUAAACCAGUUUGUGGGAGUGUCACAUGGAACAUAGAAGAAGCUACUGAUGGUCUCGCCAGUGUGUCUGACAGGCUCCAGAAAGAAAUGGAUCCCCAGGCUCUGGAGUAAAUGAAGGGCUCUCAUGCUUCUGUCCAAGGCCAUCAACGACCAUGACACUUGCCCUAAGAAAUGGAGCAAAGUGAGGAGAGAAGCCCCUGGGAGACUCAGUGAGCACUUAGGGUUGGGGUGACUAUGCCAGGAAGGCAGACAUAGAAGAAACUCCUUCUUUUGCUCCCUCUCAUCUGCCACACUCCUCACCAGAAAGGGGUCUUGCUGGAAGCACACUGUAAGUAUUGCUUCUAUCUCCACCUGCAUCCACUUCCAGCCAGGAUUCAAAGGAGAGUUUCUAAAGCUGCCCCAGUUGUCACCACCAUCAUCGUCACCUUACAACAAGUAUCUGCAAACUGUGACCUGACAGCCGGAUCCGGUCUUUGUAAAUAAAGUCUUAUUACAAUACA
Long non-coding RNA from Vulpes vulpes (red fox), 2722 nucleotides. The record is from Ensembl. NCBI's taxonomy places the organism in Eukaryota, Metazoa, Chordata, Mammalia, Carnivora, Canidae.